AAAAAUAGUUUCACAAAAGACUUCUCAACUUGUUUGUGCUAGAAACAAGUCGAAGAAUGGAUAAUAAAAGUCGAAGAUAUCGGAUUGCAGUGCGAAUUGCGCAAUAAUCCUCUCGGAUAUCCCAUCUCAAAUAUUG
Non-coding RNA from Caenorhabditis elegans, 136 nucleotides. The record is from Ensembl. NCBI's taxonomy places the organism in Eukaryota, Metazoa, Nematoda, Chromadorea, Rhabditida, Rhabditidae.